UACGUAGGGUGCAAGCGUUAUCCGGAAUUAUUGGGCGUAAAGAGCUCGUAGGCGGUCUGUCGCGUCUGCUGUGAAAACCCGAGGCUCAACCUCGGGCCUGCAGUGGGUACGGGCAGACUAGAGUGCGGUAGGGGAGAUUGGAAUUCCUGGUGUAGCGGUGGAAUGCGCAGAUAUCAGGAGGAACACCGAUGGCGAAGGCAGAUCUCUGGGCCGUAACUGACGCUGAGGAGCGAAAGCGUGGGGAGCGAACAGG
RNAcentral lists this ribosomal RNA (253 nucleotides) under uncultured bacterium. RNAcentral describes it as "partial 16S ribosomal RNA". It matches the Rfam family "Bacterial small subunit ribosomal RNA", at positions 524 to 776 of the family's 1533-position model. The record is from RNAcentral.